RNAcentral lists this unclassified non-coding RNA (376 nucleotides) under uncultured bacterium. Its description in RNAcentral is "contains 16S-23S intergenic spacer region". The record is from RNAcentral.
UCCGGUUUGUCACCGGCAGUCUCGUUAAAGUGCCCAACUAAAUGAUGGCAAUUAACGACAAGGGUUGCGCUCGUUGCGGGACUUAACCCAACAUCUCACGACACGAGCUGACGACAGCCAUGCAGCACCUGUGCAGAGACCCUUGCGGGAGAUACCAUCUCUGGUACUGUCCUCUGCAUGUCAAACCUGGGUAAGGUUCUUCGCGUUGCAUCGAAUUAAACCACAUGCUCCACUGCUUGUGCGGGUCCCCGUCAAUUCUUUUGAGUUUCAGCCUUGCGACUGUACUCCCCAGGCGGUAUACUUAACGCGUUAGCUUCGGCACAGCUAGGGUUGAUUCCAGCUACACCAAGUAUACAUAGUUUACGGCAAGGACUAC